This 1343-nucleotide long non-coding RNA is filed under the name Rhinopithecus bieti (black snub-nosed monkey). RNAcentral's name for it is "lncRNA (ENSRBIG00000045662.1)". Lineage: Eukaryota; Metazoa; Chordata; Mammalia; Primates; Cercopithecidae. The record is from RNAcentral.
GUGGGGGAGAGCUGGGAUCGUGUGUGGGCACAGAGCCCAGACAGGCGCGGUGGGGGCAGGGGUGACCAGGGCAGGCUUCCUGGAGGAGGGGAGCGUAGACAUGCGCUGGACAGAGGGGAGGCGCAAGGAUCAGAAUUGCUGCGGGCUAAGGGGAGAAAAACGUGGGUCUCUGGAGACCAGGGGCCUAUCUGCCAGAUUCAUGAACAACCUGACCCAAUGCAGGCAAAUGCAGAGGAUGUCCCAUAACUGUCCCACUUCCUAGGAACCCUUCUUUGUGGCCAGCCAGGGCUCAGUGCAGAGAGACAGAGAAGACCCAGGUGUCCCCUGGCCCAAUGCUUCCGGGAGGCAUCUCGGCCUUCCCACCUCUGAGAACAUUCAGGCCUUUGAGAUGUGGCCCCUGCCUGCCCCAGUCCCCCCGGCCCGACAAUGGGGGCUUCAGAGGAGACUGGAUGGCAGGACACAGCCACUUCUGUGAAGCAGAGUCGACCGCCAAGCUGGAGGUCUUCGUGGAUUUAUCAGGGAGAAGCAUGGCUGAGUAAAGGAAUUCUGGCACCAUGUGACAACCAUCUUCCUCAUCAAGAUUGGUGUCCUGGGAUGUGGCUAUCCCUGACCUUCCAGCAGAAUGAAGAGAAAAGGCUGAACCAGGCAGUUCAGCUUCCCCCAGUAGCACUCCUCUCAGGCCAUGGAGAAUAAUAAUAGCUAACAUUAACUGAGCUUUUGCUAGGGGCCAGACCUUUAUGUGCAUUAUCUCAUUUAAUCCUUGUGCUAAGAGGUAAGUACCAUUACUAUUGCCAAUACAGGAAACAGAAGCUUAGUGUGGUUAAGUGACUUGCUCAAUGGCUGGAAGAGGUGAAGUAACCCACCUCAAGGUUGUUCAGGUAGUUAGCAGUACAGCCAGGAUUUGAACCCAAGCAGUCUAAACCCCGAGAUUCAUUUCAUCAAAAACAGCAACCAGAGAAUAGAAUCCUGAUCCCUGCAACAGGUCAGCUGAGCCAGGACCAAUUCAUUGCUUGAUUCCUACAAAGGAUUCUUGCUGAUGAAGGUAACAAGGAAGAUAGAAACAGGAGAUUGGUAACAGUGAAGAAGAACGUGUUGAUGAAUAGGUGACUAGGAAAUUCCCACCUAGGAGUCAUUGAGUUGUUCAUUCAUUAAUCCAUCAUCCAUCUCAGGAGCUCUGCUGAGUUGCCACAGAGUGUAAAGAACAUGAGCUCUGGAGCCUGCCAGACUGAAUUCAAAUCCCAGUUCUGCCAUGAUUUCCUGUGUGACCUUGGGCACGUUGCUUCACUUCUCUGAGCCUCAGACUUCUCAUCAAUAAAAUGAAGAUAACAAAUUAUCUAUCUUGU